AGGGCUAUAGCUCAGUGGUAGAGCACCUCGUUUACACCGAGAAUGUCUACGGUUCAAAUCCGUAUAGCCCUA
This 72-nucleotide transfer RNA is filed under the name Crepidomanes minutum. Its description in RNAcentral is "tRNA-Val". It matches the Rfam family "tRNA". From Rfam's summary of the family: Transfer RNA (tRNA) molecules are approximately 80 nucleotides in length. Lineage: Eukaryota; Viridiplantae; Streptophyta; Polypodiopsida; Hymenophyllales; Hymenophyllaceae. The record is from RNAcentral.